RNAcentral lists this microRNA (24 nucleotides) under Caenorhabditis remanei. RNAcentral describes it as "crm-miR-7594". Lineage: Eukaryota; Metazoa; Nematoda; Chromadorea; Rhabditida; Rhabditidae. The record is from miRBase by way of RNAcentral.
UGAGGUAGGCCGAGUAGAAGGUAA